This 72-nucleotide transfer RNA is filed under the name Alligator sinensis (Chinese alligator). It matches the Rfam family "tRNA". From Rfam's summary of the family: Transfer RNA (tRNA) molecules are approximately 80 nucleotides in length. Their secondary structure includes four short double-helical elements and three loops (D, anti-codon, and T loops). The record is from Rfam by way of RNAcentral. Lineage: Eukaryota; Metazoa; Chordata; Crocodylia; Alligatoridae.
AGGGAUGUAGCUAAGUGGUAGAGUAUGUGUUUUGCAUGUAUGAGGGCAUGGGUUCAAUCCCCAGUAUCUCCA